Long non-coding RNA from Patiria miniata (bat star), 1384 nucleotides. RefSeq lists it as uncharacterized. Lineage: Eukaryota; Metazoa; Echinodermata; Asteroidea; Valvatida; Asterinidae. The record is from RefSeq and is a predicted model, not a curated record. The transcript is spliced from 4 exons.
AUGAUGCAAUUGGGUGGUCUGUUGAGUUUGUAUUACAAGAGCGGUUGGGAAAUAUAUAAACUUCCUGCUGUCACUGAGAGAAUUAUUGUCUCUGACAUCAACCAGAAAGCAUACUGCAGCGUUGCUUGAUAAAAAGAACAGAGAAGUACACUGAAGAUAAUAUCCACAGACAUUUCCUUUGAACGGCAUUGAAUUUCCCACUACUCACAAUGAAGAUGUUACUGGUCACUCUUCUGAUAAUCGGCUUGAUUGCUAGUACUGUGAUGACUAGUGAAGCAGCUAGUCUGCAAGGACGGAGUGACGGUGAUUCUGGCAAACAUGCAGUCAGUGGAGAACGUCAAGUACGGGGUGACGUAGACUGCGCCUUUUACGAGGAUCCCUGCACUACAUCUCCUAGUGGCUGUUGUGCAAAAUGGCGCAAAUUUGUGUAAUACAAAGCGCCAUUUUAUACGGUGGGGAGAUGAGAAGGAAGCAAGUAUCACCGCUCUGCCUCUCCCAAGUGUCUGACCUCUCAUCUGCGUAUUCAUUUCAGAAAGAAAAAAAGAAAAAAAUCCCCGCGUCAAACCGAACUUUGAUGGAAGUAUUUCGUCUUAGAUCUCCUUUACCAUAACUACUUGUUCAUGGCAGAUAGAUAUUCAGACGGCAACUCAAAUUCCAUUUCAGUAACAAAAUUUAACAUUCUGAAAAUACCGUUAAACUGGGGUUCCUAUAAUGAAAAAGAAAAUCAUUGUAUUUUAUUUUCUCUAUACGGUUGAGAGAGCAGCGUCUUCGUCGAAGAUGACUCAUACAACUUGACGUGAUGCAUCUUUAAUCAACAAGUAGAUUAUAGACAAAUAUUGGUUGGUGGCUGGAUAAUCUAUCAAAAUGCAAACAUCCCCGAAACUUUGUUGAUCAAAAACAUAGAAAAUAAUAAACCUAAUCAUAACACCAAAACCGUGCAAAAUUUGCAACUCAGUGACCGCUAUGCUUGCCAUUAAUUUGUUAACAUUAGUUCAGUUAGGAGGAUUUUAUUGAUGAAAACUCGUAGGAUUCUCUGUGUCAGACCUAAAUAUUAAAGGAACUUGAGGAAAAUUCAUUGAGUUGAAAAAUAUUACACAUGCAUUUUUUGUUUAUCUGCGGUCAACCGCCCAACAAAUCAUCAUGUCUCUCCGUUAAUUAGUUAGUUCGUUAGUUAGUUACAGUACUGUUUAGUAACAAACGUACGUUCUGCGCAGCCGCAGCUCAAAUAUUAAACCUAAAACCGGAGGCCAUUUUGCAAAAGGUAUUUAUUCUGGAUUGCCAUAGAGGGCGCUAAACUACCUAUUAAAAUAUUUUUUUUCCGAACGCUAUGAGUAGUUUAAGACUUACACAAACCUGAGAACUUCAAAAAUAAACACUGCUUAUA